AUCUGAUUCAUCCACUUGCUCCUCGCCCGUGGUAGGUACAUUUUCUAUGAUAGUUGCUGGCCGCUUUACAUGUAUUUCUGGUAACUGGACGCCACUACGUGUAGUGAUUGCUUUGACCUGCUCUUUAGGAUUUGUUUCAGCAUUGCUAGGCAAUGUCCCUUGAGCUCUACCUGAUAGUGCGACUGCAAUUUGUCCAACCUGUUGUUCUAAAUUCUUGAUUGAGGCUUGUUGGUUUUGAAAGUUGGUCUCAAUUUUAGUAAUGUAUUGAGCCAACGAUGGCUUUCUCCCUUGCUGUUGUUACUAUUGGAACCCUGGUGGUUUAUUUUGAUUGUUUCCUCCUUGUUCUUGUACCUGAUUAUUGGAUCAAGAAAAUUUUGGAUGGUUCCUCCAACCCAGAUUAUAUGUGUUGGAGAAAAGAUUAUUUUGCUGUCUCUGAAAGUUCUGCUCGUAGCUUACUUCUUCGGAUUGAUUGACAUGUGUUGAUGCCAAAGGGCAGCGUGUACUAGCAUGAUCUGCUCCACAGCUUUCGCAAACAGGUGGCGAUUGGUGUACCAUAUUAAUUGAUUUAGACAGAUUGUCCAUUUUGAUUGUAAGAACUUCCAUUUGCGCGGCCAAUGCGGUUACUGCAUCCAUGUUGUGUAACCCUAAUAUUUUCCUUGGAGCUUCCCUAUCGAUUAGCCACAUCGAUUGAUUCUCAGCUAUUUUUUUAUACAAAUCAUAGGCCUCAUUGACAUCAAGUUUCAUAACUGAUCCUCCCGCUGAAGCAUCUAUUAUAUUUCUGAACUCCUGUUUUAGACCGUGGUAGAAGAGCUAUUGUUGAGCCUGCUUAGGAAUGUCAAGGUUGGGGCAUUUUCUGAAAAAAAAAUUUGAACCUCUCUCAUGCCUCAAGAUAGCUCUCUAAAUCUUUUUGCUUGAAAGUGUGGACGUCAUUCCUAAUUUGGUGAACUCGAGAAGGUGGAAAGAAUUUCAUCGUGAAUUUUUGAACCAUAUCGUUCCAUGAUUGAAUGCUCCCUGGUGGUAAACAAAUAAACCAUUCUCUAGCAGCAUCCUUCAAGGUGUGAGAAAAUAAUCGCAUUCGAAAUGCA
RNAcentral lists this long non-coding RNA (1085 nucleotides) under Olea europaea subsp. europaea. The record is from RNAcentral. Lineage: Eukaryota; Viridiplantae; Streptophyta; Magnoliopsida; Lamiales; Oleaceae.